GUAGGGAGCAAGCGUUAUUCGGAUUUACUGGGCGUAAAGAGUGCGUAGGCGGUCAGGUAAGUCAGGGGUGAAAUCUCUGCUCUUAAGGCAGAAACUGCCUUUGAUACUGCUUGACUCGAGGACAGGAGAGGGAAGUGGAACUCUGGAAGUAGCGGUGAAAUGCGUAGAUAUUCAGGGGAACGCCGGUGGCGAAAGCGGCUUCCUAGUCUGUCCCUGACGCUGAGGCACGAAAGCUAGGGUAGCGAUCGGGAUUAGAGACCCCGGUAGUCCUAGCCGUAAACGAUGGGUACUAAGUGUGGGGGGAGCAUUACUCUCCGUGCUGAAGCUAACGUGUUAAGUACCCCGCCUGGGGAGUACGGUCGCAAGACUGAAACUCAAAAGAAUUGACGGGGGGCUGAACAAGCAGUGGAGCACGUGGUUUAAUUCGACGCAAAACGAAGAACCUUACCAGGACUUGGCAUGCCAGUAGUAGCGACCUGAAAGGGAAGCGAUCCUUAUCUUCGGAUAGGGAAGCUAGCACAGGUGGUGCAUGGCUGUCGUCAGCUCGUGCCGUGAGGUGUUGGGUUAAGUCCCUUAACGAGCGCAACCCUUGCUUCUAGUUGCCAGCGGGUAAUGCCGGGCACUCUAGAGGGACCGCCGCCAGAAAGCGGAGGAAGGUGGGGAUGACGUCAAGUCAUCACGCCCCUUAUGUCCUGGGCUACACACGUGCUACAAUGGCCAUGACAGAGAGAAGCAAGGGAGCGAUCCUGAGCGAAUCUCAAAAAGUGGUCCCAGUCCGGAUUGCAGGCUGCAAUUCGCCUGCAUGAAGUCGGAAUUGCUAGUAAUCGCGGAUCAGCUAUGCCGCGGUGAAUACGUUCUCAGCCCUU
Molecule: ribosomal RNA, 866 nt
Filed under: uncultured microorganism
Description: bacterial SSU rRNA
Rfam family: Bacterial small subunit ribosomal RNA
Source: RNAcentral